RNAcentral lists this ribosomal RNA (834 nucleotides) under Triticum aestivum (bread wheat). Its description in RNAcentral is "partial small subunit ribosomal RNA". Lineage: Eukaryota; Viridiplantae; Streptophyta; Magnoliopsida; Poales; Poaceae. The record is from RNAcentral.
AUGACACAGCCUCCGCGACGACCCACCGCGACCGCCGAGCCAGUCUUCCUCGGCGCCACAUCCAUCCCAAGUCCAUGGCCCGAGCCGGCCACCAACAUCCCCGUCUUUCGGCACCCGCCUCCCCCGCCGCCGCCGCAGAAGCACCCGCACGGGAAGCACCGGUCCCGCCCCGCCCGCCUCAUGCGUUCGGUGCGCGCCGCAUUCCGUUCGUUCCCAAUUCUCCCGGCACCGUCCUGCCGUGGGAUGCCGUCGCUGCCCCACCUCCCGAGCCUCAACGGUGCCAGCCUCGUCAGGAACCAGUUCCAUGGCUCUACGCGCACCACGGGGACGCUGUACGGCCGCCGGCGGUCGCGCAUCACCAGCGCCUUCCACGACAACCCGGGAAGCCCGCCGGGAUUGCUGUUGGAGAUGUGCGUGCCGACGGCCAAGUUUAUCCAGGACGUCAGCGCGGCCGGCAUGGUGCGCGUCACGCUCGAGUGCGACAAGCAGCAGCAGUACCAGCAUCAGCACGCGGGCGAAGCGUCGCCGGCGCAACGGCAGCUUAUGGACGAGCCGACCUGGUCGGCGGAGGUGAACGGCGAGAGCGUGGGGCACGCGUCUCGGCGGGAGGCGACGGAGGAGGACGAGCGGGUGAUGCGGCUGCUGUACGCCACGUCCAUGGGCGCCGGCGUGCUGCCGGACGACGUGGCCGAGUAUGCCAACGGCGAGCUCACGUACAUGCGCGUGCACUUCGACCGCGUCGUGGGAUCCAAGGACUCUGAGACGUACUACGUGUACAAUCCCGAGGGCACCGCCACCGGGCCGGAGCUCACCAUCUUCUUCGUUAGGAAUUGA